GGUAGCGUGGCCGAGCGGUCUAAGGCGCUGGUUUUAGGCACCAGUCUCGUAGGAGGCGUGGGUUCGAAUCCCACCACUGCCA
RNAcentral lists this transfer RNA (82 nucleotides) under Actinia tenebrosa (Australian red waratah sea anemone). RNAcentral describes it as "tRNA-Leu". It matches the Rfam family "tRNA". From Rfam's summary of the family: Transfer RNA (tRNA) molecules are approximately 80 nucleotides in length. Their secondary structure includes four short double-helical elements and three loops (D, anti-codon, and T loops). Further hydrogen bonds mediate the characteristic L-shaped molecular structure. tRNAs have two regions of fundamental functional importance: the anti-codon, which is responsible for specific mRNA codon recognition, and the 3' end, to which the tRNAs corresponding amino acid is attached (by aminoacyl-tRNA synthetases). tRNAs cope with the degeneracy of the genetic code in two manners: having more than one tRNA (with a specific anti-codon) for a particular amino acid; and 'wobble' base-pairing, i.e. permitting non-standard base-pairing at the 3rd anti-codon position. The record is from Rfam by way of RNAcentral. Lineage: Eukaryota; Metazoa; Cnidaria; Anthozoa; Actiniaria; Actiniidae.